UCCGAGAUCGUCUAAUGGUAGGACACCAGGUUCUGGUCCUGGCAAUUUAGGUUCGAAUCCUAGUCUCGGAGCCA
This 74-nucleotide transfer RNA is filed under the name Candidatus Saccharimonadota bacterium. RNAcentral's name for it is "tRNA-Gln". It matches the Rfam family "tRNA". From Rfam's summary of the family: Transfer RNA (tRNA) molecules are approximately 80 nucleotides in length. Their secondary structure includes four short double-helical elements and three loops (D, anti-codon, and T loops). Further hydrogen bonds mediate the characteristic L-shaped molecular structure. tRNAs have two regions of fundamental functional importance: the anti-codon, which is responsible for specific mRNA codon recognition, and the 3' end, to which the tRNAs corresponding amino acid is attached (by aminoacyl-tRNA synthetases). tRNAs cope with the degeneracy of the genetic code in two manners: having more than one tRNA (with a specific anti-codon) for a particular amino acid; and 'wobble' base-pairing, i.e. permitting non-standard base-pairing at the 3rd anti-codon position. Lineage: Bacteria; Candidatus Saccharimonadota. The record is from RNAcentral.